AUGGAAUUACAAAGCACAUUCUGGUCUCCGAGACUUUUUCCUCGGAAUUUUCUAGGAAACGGGGUUGCAGGGUGCGGGUGCGGGCCGCCUCCAGCCGAGCUGCGGCAGAGCAAGGAUCCCAGGGGCUGUUGUCUCAGGAUGCUUUCGGGCCCCUGCGGUCCUGAGGGCCUGACCCCAGGGCCUCCCGCUGUGGGGCCUGGCAGGAGGGUCCCCAGGGCCUUCCCUGGGGGCUUCUGUGGGGAGAUGCCCUGGUGCUGGGAAGCCCCACUCGCGGGCUGCUCCGGCCGUGGCCGUGGCCGUGGCCGUGGCCGUGGGGGUGGCGGAUGGCGGGAGUUCCCACGGCACCUCGCCUCUGACCUCCUGGGCUCGGGCGGUGGCCCCACGGCAGCUCGGCCGCCUCUCGGGGUGGGGGUCCCGCCAGGCUCUCGAACACGGGCUGGCCUCUUGUCGGGUGGGUGGCGUGAGCGGCCAGCCGGGGACGGUGGGCUCGGCUCUCGGGGCCAGGGGCGGCGCAGGGUCGGGCUGGGCUGGGCUAUGCUUUGGGGGGGGCACCACCCAGGCCCCCCUGCCAUCACCGUGUGCGUCACGGCCCGCCUUCCCGCUGACCUGAGGUGGUGGGAGCACUCAGACGGGGCUGUGGGAGGUGCUGGGCACAGUGGGGCUCCCAGGGCCCCCCUGGAGGUGUCGGGGCCACCCCUGCCCUGGACCCCGUGUCUCCUCCUCCUGGACGCUUCUGCAAACCCAGGUGCCCUUGGCAGCAGGAGCACUCAGCUCCUCCGACCCCCCGACCUGCGGCCCCCCUUGCCUGUGCACCCCCGCCUGCCCUGCCUCAGCGCGGCCCCUGUGUUCGCCGUGUGUGGCGGGGGCGGUUCCCCUCACCUGCCCCAGGUCCCCCCACCAAACCUCAGCCGGGUUCCGCGAAUCUCCGCACGCUGUGAGCCCCUCACCCCCGGCACCCGGUGCAGCCGCGUCCACCCGUCCCCCUGGCCCGGCCCUGGACGGGCGGUGUGGGGGGUGCGCGCCCCAUCUGCUCUGCGCGGGCACCUGAGUGCACGUGUCCAGCCGCCUGCCCCGACUGCUGCGUCCCCGAGGCCGAGGAGCCCUGCACCGAGGACCGUGCGCUGUCCCGUCUGGGGGAGCACAGACCCUCGCGGCCGCCUGGACGUCUGCCUGCAAAUCCUCCGGGCUCAGCCCCCUGGGAGCCGGGCUCACAAAGGGGGCUCCCCGGGGGCCAUGCUCCCUGCCCGACCCCUGCGCCACAGCGAGUCCCCGUGUGUGGGGUUCCCGAUUCUGUCAUCCUAG
Molecule: long non-coding RNA, 1302 nt
Filed under: Vulpes vulpes (red fox)
Lineage: Eukaryota; Metazoa; Chordata; Mammalia; Carnivora; Canidae
Description: lncRNA (ENSVVUG00000024081.1)
Source: RNAcentral